RNAcentral lists this ribosomal RNA (593 nucleotides) under uncultured bacterium. RNAcentral's name for it is "partial 16S ribosomal RNA". It matches the Rfam family "Bacterial small subunit ribosomal RNA", at positions 355 to 1375 of the family's 1533-position model. The record is from RNAcentral.
UGGGGAAUUUUGGACAAUGGGCGCAAGCCUGAUCCAGCAAUGCCGCGUGCAGGAUGAAGGCCUUCGGGUUGUAAACUGCUUUUGUACGGAACGAAAAGCCCUGGGUUAAUACCCUGGGGUCAUGACGGUACCGUAAGAAUAAGCACCGGCUAACUACGUGCCAGCAGCCGCGGUAAUACGUAGGGUGCAAGCGUUAAUCGGAAUUACUGGGCGUAAAGCGUGCGCAGGCGGUUUUGUAAGACAGAGGUGAAAUCCCCGGGCUCAACCUGGGAACUGCCUUUUGUGACUGCAAGGCUAGAGUACGGCAGAGGGGGAUGGAACUCCGCGUGUAGCAGUGAAAUGCGUAGAUAUGCGGAGGAACACCGAUGGCGAAGGCAAUUCCCUGGGCCUGUACUGACGCUCAUGCACGAAAAGCGUGGGGGAGCAAAACAGGAUUAGAUACCCCUGGUAGUCCACGCCCUAAAACGAUGUCAACUGGUUGUUGGGGUCUUAAACUGACUCAGUAACGAAGCUAACGCGUGAAGUUGACGCCUGGGGAGUACGGCCGCAAGGUUGAAACUUAAAAGGAAUUGACGGGGUCAUAGCUGUUUCCU